AGAGCGAACGCUGGCGGCAGGCCUAACACAUGCAAGUCGAGCGCCCCGCAAGGGGAGCGGCAGACGGGAGAGUAACACGUGGGAACGUACCCUUUGGUUCGGAACAACCCAGGGAAACUUGGGCUAAUACCGAAUAAGCCCUUACGGGGAAAGAUUUAUCGCCGAAGGAUCGGCCCGCGUCUGAUUAGCUAGUUGGUGAGGUAACGGCUCACCAAGGCGACGAUCGGUAGCUGGUCUGAGAGGAUGAUCAGCCUCACUGGGAUUGAGACACGGCCCAGACUCCUACGGGAGGCAGCAGUGGGGAAUAUUGGACAAUGGGCGCAAGCCUGAUCCAGCCAUGCCGCGUGGGUGAUGAAGGCCCUAGGGUUGUAAAGCCCUUUCGGCGGGGAAGAUAAUGACGGUACCCGCAGAAGAAGCCCGGCUAACUUCGUGCCAGCAGCCGC
Molecule: ribosomal RNA, 443 nt
Filed under: uncultured bacterium
Lineage: Bacteria
Description: SSU rRNA
Rfam family: Bacterial small subunit ribosomal RNA
Source: RNAcentral